Molecule: long non-coding RNA, 935 nt
Organism: Glycine soja
Lineage: Eukaryota; Viridiplantae; Streptophyta; Magnoliopsida; Fabales; Fabaceae
Exons: 2
Source: RefSeq, a predicted model, not a curated record
GUUUAUUUUCCGACAAAUACUGCCAAGUCCCAUCUAGUAUCUAGUACUAUACUGCACCGCACUGUUUCGUCGUUGACAAAAUAAAAAGGAAAGAAACAAAUGGACAACAAAAUUCGACCUUUAUCAGUGUCAUUGCAUUCCAAUUUCUUCUCCUCACUAAAACAGGUUGAAAAGAGGUUAAAAUUAGACCAAACUUUACAACCAGCAAUAGAAUCUCAGAUACAUGAAAGCAUUUUGGGUUCUCCCAUCUUCCUUCAAUCUAGUGGUAGCCAGAAUUGUCCCUCACAAGAUAGCAGUGAACCUCCUCAAGCAUUCCUCUCAGUUUCCUAAGAAUUUCCAACAAUCCAUCAAGACCCUUCUCAUUUUUAAACAGAUCAUGUCACUCCAGCCAAUGAAGCUGAAGAUAAUGAUGAUGACAUUGAACAGUUAAUGCAGCUCAUGGGAUUAUAAGAGGUACAAGAACCAAGGGAUGAUGGUGAUUCAUGCCACUGUGAAGAUGGGUUUUAUGUAAAAAUUGUUGGUUUGUAAGGGCCAAAGUGUAGGAAGGAGGUGCUGAGGUUAGAUGGGUGGAUCAACCACUUUAUGAAUGGUGGUGGUGGGGAGGAGAAGCAAGAACCCUUGAGAUUGGCACACCUGCUUUUAGGGAAAGCUGCUUUUAAUUCUGAUGGUGCUUUUGGAGAAUUGGACUUCCCUUCAGGCAUUCAAGAAUUUCUUCAUACUGAUCCUCCCUGUAAUUAAGGCAACCCCCCACUUUCUUAUUAUUACUGUUUUAGCUUUGUUGUUUUAUUUUAUUACAUUCUUCUUUCUAAAUGUUAUAUCCAAAUGCAACUAUAUAGAAACUUUAGAGCCUUUAUGACUUAUAGAAAAGUUGGGAGAUUCUUUCAUCAUUGCCCUAGGAAUCUUGAGCAAUUAAUGUUACAUUGCAUUGUUGUGAA